Actinia tenebrosa (Australian red waratah sea anemone) is the source of this 165-nucleotide long non-coding RNA. Lineage: Eukaryota; Metazoa; Cnidaria; Anthozoa; Actiniaria; Actiniidae. The record is from RefSeq and is a predicted model, not a curated record.
CUAUAGUCAAGAUGCGUGACGUUCAAGUUCUAGAUUAUCAGUUUAUUCAGAGUUCAGUCAGUCAAUGAUUUCACAAUUCCACGCUACAGGAUUAAUUUCACGAGUUCAGGUUUUCACGAUUCGCUAGAAUGACAAUUGCAAAACCUUAUAUGAGAAUAUAUUCUG